ACCAUGUGAUUUGGUUUAUUUUGAUCCAGCAGUUCUUUCCAAGGCAGAUCUCACAAUUAAUCUUUUAAUUGGAAGUGGACUUGCACAAGAGCUGCAGGAUGUAGGGCACAGUUUAUAAAAAUGCCCGAAUGUCUACUAUGAAGAGAGGAGCUGCUGUGAAGGAAGGCUGUCUGGUUGGUGUAUUAGCUGUUGGUCACAUACACCUGGUCUGAAAGCGACUGGCGUCUGAAACACCUUGGACCUGCCAAAGGCAACCUAGUCUACCUGUGGAUGCUGUGAACUAGGAGCUGACCAAAAAGUGGGAGAGCUCCAGGAUCCGUCCCUGGAAAAGGUAAGGUCUGGAGGGUAAAACUGGUUGGACUGCACUUGUAGACCAGAAGAACAGAGCAGUUCUCUGAGUA
RNAcentral lists this long non-coding RNA (401 nucleotides) under Manacus vitellinus (golden-collared manakin). RNAcentral describes it as "lncRNA (ENSMVIG00005011004.1)". The record is from RNAcentral. Lineage: Eukaryota; Metazoa; Chordata; Aves; Passeriformes; Pipridae.